CCUACGGGGGCGGCAGUCGGGAAUUUUGCGCAAUGGGGGAAACCCUGACGCAGCAACGCCGCGUGGGUGAUGAAGGCCUUCGGGUCGUAAAGCCCUGUCGGGAGGGAAGAAAUGAUUGAGAGCUAAUACCUCUUGGUCUUGACGGUACCUCCGAAGGAAGCACCGGCUAACUCCGUGCCAGCAGCCCCGGUC
This 192-nucleotide ribosomal RNA is filed under the name uncultured bacterium. Its description in RNAcentral is "partial 16S rRNA". It matches the Rfam family "Bacterial small subunit ribosomal RNA", at positions 338 to 522 of the family's 1533-position model. The record is from RNAcentral.